CAAUAUUUCAUUGACGUAUAAAAUUAAUUACCCUAAUUGAACUACAUAUGGUAGCCAAUACGCAUUGUGACACACCUAAACCCAACAAUACGCCUUAAACAGGCGUGUCAGGGCCAACGUCAAGACACUACUCAGUAAAUCUUAGGUCCAAACAACACACCCACAACACCAAUGUUCUAUAUUACAGUAGCUAGGAAACUAGGCCUUAGAAAAAAGAAUAAGGAGUGACAAAAGGGGUGCCAGCAGUCGCGGUUACACCCCUACUCUAAAUUAAUUGCAACCCACCUCAGAAGGUAAAUACCCAAAGACUAUUAAGCCAACUUACAACGUAAAAAGACAAAUUUAUAAGCCAGACCCAAACAAGUCAUUCUUACACCUAUUCUUACAAACCACAAAACGAAACUCGGAUUAGAUACCCGACUAUUGCGUGGCCCAACAGUAAAAAGAAAACUAAGAGCGAAAGCUUAAACCUCAAACAAUGUGGCGGUACUUUAUCACAUGUCAGGGGAUCCUGUAUCUUAAAUCGAUAAUCCACGAACAAUCAAAGCUUCUCUAGUAAUCAGCUUGUGUAUGGCCGUUUACGCUUGCUCAAAAAAGACUCAAUAGGAAGCAAAAAGAAAACACUUCAAUCAAUUCAGGUGACAUACAGCCAAUGAGAAGCUGACUUAUGGGAUACAAAUAAACAGAAUUAACAGAUUAGGCCUUAAAACCCCUAUGAAGGAGGACUUGAAAGUAAAAUGACACACACGUAGUGCAUUUGGACAAGAACUAAAGUGCGCACAAAUCGCCCGUCACUCCUGCGCCUAAAGCGGGAUAAGUCGUAACACAGUAGGGGUAAUGGAAAUUGCCCCUAUCC
This 856-nucleotide ribosomal RNA is filed under the name Pseudunio homsensis. Its description in RNAcentral is "Margaritifera homsensis 12S ribosomal RNA". The record is from RNAcentral. Lineage: Eukaryota; Metazoa; Mollusca; Bivalvia; Unionida; Margaritiferidae.